Molecule: ribosomal RNA, 497 nt
Filed under: uncultured bacterium
Lineage: Bacteria
Description: partial 16S ribosomal RNA
Rfam family: Bacterial small subunit ribosomal RNA
Source: RNAcentral
GACGAACGCUGGCGGCGUGCUUAACACAUGCAAGUCGAACGGUGAAGCGCCUUCCUUUUUGGUGGGUGUGGAUGAGUGGCGAACGGGUGAGUAACACGUGAGUAACCUGCCCCCUUCUUCUGGAUAACCGCAUGAAAGUGUGGCUAAUACGGGAUAUUCUGGGUCUGUCGCAUGAUGGGUCUGGGAAAGAUAUUGUUUCGGUGGGGGAUGGGCUCGCGGCGUAUUAGCUUGUUGGUGGGGUGAUGGCUUACCAAGGCGGCGAUGGGUAGCCGGCCUGAGAGGAUGAUGGACCGCCACACAAGGAAUGAGCCACCCCCAAGACUACGACAGGAGGCAGCAGGGAAUAUUACGGAACAAUCGGAGCAAUCAUGAUGCAGCGCCGCCUCAUUAGUGAUGGAGUCCUGCUCGUUGUGAACCUCUUUCGCCAGUGAACCAGUCCUUCCUCAUCUGUGCAUAUGUUGACGGUACCUAGACAAAAAGCGCCGGCUAACUACGUG